AGUCGAGCGGUAACAGGAAUUAGCUUGCUAAUUUGCUGACGAGCGGCGGACGGGUGAGUAACGCGUAGGAAUCUGCCUAGUAGUGGGGGACAACAUGUGGAAACGCAUGCUAAUACCGCAUACGCCCUACGGGGGAAAGGAGGGGAUCUUAGGACCUUUCGCUAUUAGAUGAGCCUGCGUGAGAUUAGCUAGUUGGNGGGGUAAAGGCUCACCAAGGCGACGAUCUCUAGCUGGUCUGAGAGGAUGAUCAGCCACACUGGGACUGAGACACGGCCCAGACUCCGACGGGAGGCAGCAGUGGGGAAUAUUGGACAAUGGGCGCAAGCCUGAUCCAGCCAUGCCGCGUGUGUGAAGAAGGCCUUCGGGUUGUAAA
RNAcentral lists this ribosomal RNA (373 nucleotides) under uncultured Oceanospirillaceae bacterium. RNAcentral's name for it is "bacterial SSU rRNA". It matches the Rfam family "Bacterial small subunit ribosomal RNA", at positions 60 to 429 of the family's 1533-position model. Lineage: Bacteria; Pseudomonadati; Pseudomonadota; Gammaproteobacteria; Oceanospirillales; Oceanospirillaceae. The record is from RNAcentral.